Mauremys reevesii (Reeves's turtle) is the source of this 976-nucleotide long non-coding RNA. RefSeq lists it as uncharacterized. NCBI's taxonomy places the organism in Eukaryota, Metazoa, Chordata, Testudines, Geoemydidae. The record is from RefSeq and is a predicted model, not a curated record. The transcript is spliced from 8 exons.
UAAACAGCACCUUCGCCUGAGUUAGCUGACACAGGCCAGCCACAGGUUUUUAAUUGCACUGUAGACAUACCCCCUGUGUGUCUAAAGUGGGGAGUCAGGCUAGUCUGUUUUUGGAGGGAGGGUCCAGCUAGUCUUUGUUGGGGGAGGGAAGAGAAGCUGAUGUCUGUGUGUAAAUUCAUGCCCACAAAGUUGAGUGAAACAGUUGGGGUCUCAAACCAGAGACUCAAGAAGUCAACUUCUAGCAGGGAUCUUUCAUUGUGUGAUUUAGUGUUGGUAUGUGAAACACAGAAGAAAUCCCUUUCCUUUGUGACUUUCUCGUGCCUACUAAUCCUUCCUAUGCUCAACAAUGGACACAUGAAGACACAGCUUUUACAGUUGCAGUAAAGAAAAUCAUGUUUUGAAAUAAAGGAGAGUUUAUCUCAUCAGAAUACCAGAACCAUCCAACGCUGUAUGAAACAUGUACCCUUACUACUGGGAACUUCCAACAGGUCCAGAACUAUCUCUAAAGAAUCAUUGCUGCAGGAAAGGAAAUGAUUAAAAUUCCUCAGAGGCAAGCUCAAUUUACUGUUUACCGAAAAUUCAAUGUGAAUGAAAGAAUCUGGAUCGCCAUAACUCACACAUCUUCAUGCUUUCCCGGUCUGCAUAUGAGGUACUCCCGGACAUUGAAGAAUAAAAUUGAGGCCUAAUUAAACUAUCUCAAGUGUCUCCUCUCCUUUUUCCAGGAUGGCCAGACACAAGUAAAGUUUAUCCCAGGAUUGGCUACACACAUUGUCUUUGGUUUGAGAUCUGAGUACAAAUGACUUGGGGUUAUAUCCAAGCAAGCAAAUAAAAACAGCACAGGGGGUCAUGAGAAUAGAUUUCUGAGGGGAUUCCUGGUACCUCCAGCUUCUUGAUGGGCCAGAGAUACCAUGAAAGCAGCCUCUUUGAAGACACCUGCAAGUGAAAAAUAAUGGGGGAACAAGUUUAAUAAAUUCAA